Molecule: ribosomal RNA, 321 nt
Filed under: uncultured eukaryote
Lineage: Eukaryota
Description: partial 18S ribosomal RNA
Rfam family: Eukaryotic small subunit ribosomal RNA
Source: RNAcentral
CCCUUAGAUGUUCUGGGCCGCACGCGCGCUACACUGAUGCAUUCAACGAGCCUAUCCUUGACCGACAGGUCCGGGUAAUCUUUGAAUCUGCAUCGUGACGGGGAUAGAUUAUUGCAAUUAUUAAUCUUCAACGAGGAAUGCCUAGUAGGCGCAAGUCAUCAGCUUGCGUCGAUUACGUCCCUGCCCUUUGUACACACCGCCCGUCGCUCCUACCGAUUGGGUGUGCUGGUGAGCUCUUCGGACUGCGCGGUCUGCAGUUUCUGCGUUCCGUGCGGAAAGUUGCGCAAACCUUAACAUUUAGAGGAAGGAGAAGUCGUAACA